GAAAUCCCUCGGGAUGUAAACUUCGCAAGAACGGGAAGAAUAAGUAGGGGACAAUACCCCCUAUGAUGACGGUACCGUUUGUAAGCUCCGGCUAACUCCGUGCCAGCAGCCGCGGUAAUACGGGGGGAGCAAGCGUUGUUCGGAUUUACUGGGCGUAAAGGGCGCGUAGGCGGCCAGCNCAAGUCAGUUGUGAAAUCUCCGAGCUUAACUCGGAAAGGUCAACUGAUACUGUGCGGCUAGAGUGCGGAAGGGGCAACUGGAAUUCUUGGUGUAGCGGUGAAAUGCGUAGAUAUCAAGAGGAACACCUGCGGCGAAGGCGGGUUGCUGGGCCGACACUGACGCUGAGGCGCGAAAGCUAGGGGAGCGAACGGGAUUAGAUACCCCGGUAGUCCUAGCCUUAAACGAUGAAUGCUUGGUGUCUGGGGUUAUAAAGUCCCCGGGUGCCGUCGCUAACGCUUUAAGCAUUCCGCCUGGGGAGUACGGUCGCAAGACUGAAACUCAAA
RNAcentral lists this ribosomal RNA (503 nucleotides) under uncultured bacterium. RNAcentral's name for it is "bacterial SSU rRNA". It matches the Rfam family "Bacterial small subunit ribosomal RNA", at positions 410 to 905 of the family's 1533-position model. The record is from RNAcentral.